RNAcentral lists this ribosomal RNA (253 nucleotides) under uncultured bacterium. RNAcentral describes it as "partial 16S ribosomal RNA". It matches the Rfam family "Bacterial small subunit ribosomal RNA", at positions 524 to 776 of the family's 1533-position model. The record is from RNAcentral.
UACAGAGGUCUCAAGCGUUGUUCGGAUUCAUUGGGCGUAAAGGGUGCGUAGGCGGCGCGGUAAGUCGGGUGUGAAAUCUCGGAGCUUAACUCCGAAACUGCAUUCGAUACUGCCGUGCUUGAGGACUGGAGAGGAGACUGGAAUUUACGGUGUAGCGGUGAAAUGCGCAGAUAUCAGGAGGAACACCGAUGGCGAAGGCAGGUCUCUGGGCCACUACUGACGCUGAGAAGCGAAAGCAUGGGGAGCGAACGGG